CUCCCCCUUAGUUCUAUAAACACAGCAAGUUUCCAACAAAGCAAGCAAAUGUAAACAUUAAAUAAAUAAUCACAUCAAACACACUAAAAUUUUCAUGAAAGAUUAAAUUUUAAUUGAUUGCCAAAAUGAGAUUAUAAAAAGUGAUUGCAAAAAUAGUAAAAUCAAUACAUCCAAAAUGCAUGAAGGCUAUAUCUAUCAAAAAGUAGAUUACUACUAUAUAAUGCUUUAAGUGAGAAAUCCUAGCAUCCUAUAAGAGAGUAGGUCAGUAAAGCCCUAAGAAGUAGGUCCAGG
Molecule: long non-coding RNA, 291 nt
Filed under: Elaeis guineensis (African oil palm)
Lineage: Eukaryota; Viridiplantae; Streptophyta; Magnoliopsida; Arecales; Arecaceae
Description: long non-coding RNA (EGUI_LNC062331)
Source: RNAcentral